Molecule: ribosomal RNA, 770 nt
Filed under: uncultured Albatrellus
Lineage: Eukaryota; Fungi; Basidiomycota; Agaricomycetes; Russulales; Albatrellaceae
Description: eukaryotic LSU rRNA
Rfam family: 5.8S ribosomal RNA (bases 220-373)
Source: RNAcentral
GGAAGGAUCAUUAACGAAAGCUAGGGCGAGGUUGUAGCUGGCUUCCCCCUCGGGGGUCGCGACGUGCACGCCUCGUCUUUGUCUCUCACAACACACCUGUGCACCUCUGCGUGGGUCACGAGCGUUCACUCGUUCGGGGCUCGCGUCCUUUUGACACAACACACCCUUCGCAUGUCAUCGGAACGCUUCGUUCGCCGUGGUGGCGAAUAGAACUUGUACAACUUUCAACAACGGAUCUCUUGGCUCUCGCAUCGAUGAAGAACGCAGCGAAAUGCGAUAAGUAAUGUGAAUUGCAGAAUUCAGUGAAUCAUCGAAUCUUUGAACGCACCUUGCGCCUCUUGGUAUUCCGAGGGGCACGCCUGUUUGAGUAUCGUGAAAUCCUCAACCCGACUCCCUUUUCCUUUUUGGAGAGAGGAGAAGGGCUUGGACUUUGGAGGUCUUGCCGGUCCCUUUGUCUGGACCUGGCUCCUCUUGAAUGCAUUAGUGGAGCUCGUCUGCUCUCUCUGCCUCUCGGUGUGAUAAACCUGAUCUGCGCCGACGUGUGUGAGGGAGGAAGAAGCGCCGCUUCUAACCGGGUCUCACCUUCACCUUUCUCGGUCACACGAGAGGGAGUGUCGCGUGUUGCUUUUAGAACCCACGGAUCUCAAAUCAGGCGGGACUACCCGCUGAACUUAAGCAUAUCAAUAAGCGGAGGAAAAGAAACUAACCAGGAUUCCCCUAGUAACUGCGAGUGAAGCGGGAAAAGCUCAAAUUUGAAAUCUGGCGGUCUU